GAAAUCUUAACCCGCAAACAUGGAUGUAUAUCUCAGGUAUCAGGAACUUGCUUCUAACCCUAACAUGGAGUACAUUGCUGGAGGUGCUACUCAAAACUCCAUUUGAGUUGCCCAGUGUACAAGAACAAAACAUGAACUUUUGGAACUCAUGUGGUUUUAUAACUUGCAACAAGUAAUUUUAGUUUUCCACCAGAUUUGCUCUAACUUAGAUGUCC
Rosa rugosa (rugosa rose) is the source of this 215-nucleotide long non-coding RNA. RefSeq lists it as uncharacterized. The record is from RefSeq and is a predicted model, not a curated record. The transcript has 3 exons. Lineage: Eukaryota; Viridiplantae; Streptophyta; Magnoliopsida; Rosales; Rosaceae.